RNAcentral lists this ribosomal RNA (440 nucleotides) under uncultured bacterium. Its description in RNAcentral is "partial 16S ribosomal RNA". It matches the Rfam family "Bacterial small subunit ribosomal RNA", at positions 338 to 795 of the family's 1533-position model. The record is from RNAcentral.
CCUACGGGUGGCAGCAGUGGGGAAUAUUGCACAAUGGGGGGAACCCUGAUGCAGCGACGCCGCGUGAGUGAAGAAGUAUUUCGGUAUGUAAAGCUCUAUCAGCAGGGAAGAAGAUGACGGUACCUGACUAAGAAGCCCCGGCUAACUACGUGCCAGCAGCCGCGGUAAUACGUAGGGGGCAAGCGUUAUCCGGAUUUACUGGGUGUAAAGGGAGCGUAGACGGCAGGGCAAGUCUGGAGUGAAAGCCCGGGGCCCAACCCCGGGACUGCUUUGGAAACUGCCAUGCUAGAGUGCUGGAGAGGUAAGCGGAAUUCCUAGUGUAGCGGUGAAAUGCGUAGAUAUUAGGAGGAACACCAGUGGCGAAGGCGGCCUGCUGGACGACAACUGACGGUGAGGCGCGAAAGCGUGGGGAGCAAACAGGAUUAGAUACCCUUGUAGUC